This 446-nucleotide ribosomal RNA is filed under the name uncultured bacterium. Its description in RNAcentral is "partial 16S ribosomal RNA". It matches the Rfam family "Bacterial small subunit ribosomal RNA", at positions 338 to 795 of the family's 1533-position model. The record is from RNAcentral.
CCUACGGGUGGCAGCAGUCGAGAAUCAUUCACAAUGGGGGAAACCCUGAUGGUGCGACGCCGCGUGGGGGAAUGAAGGUCUUCGGAUUGUAAACCCCUGUCAUGUGGGAGCAAAUUAAAAAGAUAGUACCACAAGAGGAAGAGACGGCUAACUCUGUGCCAGCAGCCGCGGUAAUACAGAGGUCUCAAGCGUUGUUCGGAAUCACUGGGCGUAAAGCGUGCGUAGGCUGUUUCGUAAGUCGUGUGUGAAAGGCGCGGGCUCAACCCGCGGACGGCAUAUGAUACUGCGAGACUAGAGUAGUGGAGGGGGAACCGGAAUUCUCGGUGUAGCAGUGAAAUGCGUAGAUAUCGAGAGGAACACUCGUGGCGAAGGCGGGUUCCUGGACAUUAACUGACGCUGAGGCACGAAGGCCAGGGGAGCGAAAGGGAUUAGAUACCCGAGUAGUC